UUGAUCCUGGCUCAGAAUCAACGCUGGCGGCGUGCCUAACACAUGCAAGUCGAACGCGAAAACCCCGCAAGGGGUUAGUAGAGUGGCAAACGGGUGAGUUACACGUGGGUGACCUGCCUUCGAGUGGGGGAUAACGUCCCGAAAGGGACUCUAAUACCGCAUGACAUCCUGCCUUUGAAGAGGCGGAGAUCAAAGCUGGUGACCGCAAGGCCUAGCGCUUGAAGAGGGGCCCGCGCCUGAUUAGCUAGUUGGUGGGGUAAUGGCUCACCAAGGCAACGAUCAGUAUCCGGCCUGAGAGGUCGGACGGACACACUGGGACUGAGACACGGCCCAGACUCCUACGGGAGGCUGCAGUGGGGAAUUGUUCGCAAUGGGCGCAAGCCUGACGACGCAACGCCGUGUGGAGGAUGAAGACCUUCGGGUCGUAAACUCCUUUCGAUCGAGACGAAUGGUCUCUGGGUGAAUAAUCCGGAGAAGUGACGGUACCGAGAGAAGAAGCUCCGGCUAACUCCGUGCCAGCAGCCGCGGUAAUAAGGU
RNAcentral lists this ribosomal RNA (537 nucleotides) under uncultured Acidobacteriota bacterium. Its description in RNAcentral is "bacterial SSU rRNA". It matches the Rfam family "Bacterial small subunit ribosomal RNA", at positions 13 to 529 of the family's 1533-position model. Lineage: Bacteria; Pseudomonadati; Acidobacteriota. The record is from RNAcentral.